GAGGGUAUAGCUUAGUGGUAGAGCACGUGCUUUGCAUGCAUGUGGUCCCGGGGUUCAAUCCCCGAUACCUCCU
Molecule: transfer RNA, 73 nt
Filed under: Camelus bactrianus (Bactrian camel)
Lineage: Eukaryota; Metazoa; Chordata; Mammalia; Artiodactyla; Camelidae
Also listed under: 2 other names
Rfam family: tRNA
About the family: Transfer RNA (tRNA) molecules are approximately 80 nucleotides in length. Their secondary structure includes four short double-helical elements and three loops (D, anti-codon, and T loops).
Source: Rfam by way of RNAcentral